UGCCAGACUCCUACGGGAGGCAGCAGUGGGGGAUAUUGCACAAUGGGGGGAACCCUGAUGCAGCGACGCCGCGUGGGUGAAGGAGCGUUUCGGCGCGCAAAGCUCUCUCAGCAGGGAAGAAGAUGACGGUACCUGAGUAAGAAGCCCCGGCUAACUACGUGCCAGCAGCCGCGGUAAUACGUAGGGGCAAGCGUUAUCCGGAUUUACUGGGUGUAAAGGGAGCGUAGACGGUGAGACAAGUCUGAAGUGAAAGCCCGGGGCUCAACCCCGGGACUGCUUUGGAAACUGCCUGACUGGAGUGCUGGAGAGGCAAGCGGAAUUCCUAGUGUAGCGGUGAAAUGCGUAGAUAUUAGGAAGAACACCAGUGGCGAAGGCGGCCUGCUGGACGAUGACUGACGUUGAGGCUCGAAAGCGUGGGGAGCAAACAGGAUUAGAUACCCCCGAG
RNAcentral lists this ribosomal RNA (445 nucleotides) under uncultured bacterium. RNAcentral describes it as "partial 16S ribosomal RNA". It matches the Rfam family "Bacterial small subunit ribosomal RNA", at positions 329 to 792 of the family's 1533-position model. The record is from RNAcentral.